Molecule: ribosomal RNA, 1159 nt
Filed under: Microbacterium sp.
Lineage: Bacteria; Bacillati; Actinomycetota; Actinomycetes; Micrococcales; Microbacteriaceae
Description: bacterial SSU rRNA
Rfam family: Bacterial small subunit ribosomal RNA
Source: RNAcentral
GCGUUGGAAACGACGUCUAAUACCGGAUACAAGCUGCGAAGGCAUCUUCAGCAGCUGGAAAGAACUUCGGUCAAGGAUGAGCUCGCGGCCUAUCAGCUAGUUGGUGAGGUAAUGGCUCACCAAGGCGUCGACGGGUAGCCGGCCUGAGAGGGUGACCGGCCACACUGGGACUGAGACACGGCCCAGACUCCUACGGGAGGCAGCAGUGGGGAAUAUUGCACAAUGGGCGCAAGCCUGAUGCAGCAACGCCGCGUGAGGGACGACGGCCUUCGGGUUGUAAACCUCUUUUAGCAAGGAAGAAGCGAAAGUGACGGUACUUGCAGAAAAAGCGCCGGCUAACUACGUGCCAGCAGCCGCGGUAAUACGUAGGGCGCAAGCGUUAUCCGGAAUUAUUGGGCGUAAAGAGCUCGUAGGCGGUUUGUCGCGUCUGCUGUGAAAACUGGGGGCUCAACCCCCAGCCUGCAGUGGGUACGGGCAGACUAGAGUGCGGUAGGGGAGAUUGGAAUUCCUGGUGUAGCGGUGGAAUGCGCAGAUAUCAGGAGGAACACCGAUGGCGAAGGCAGAUCUCUGGGCCGUAACUGACGCUGAGGAGCGAAAGGGUGGGGAGCAAACAGGCUUAGAUACCCUGGUAGUCCACCCCGUAAACGUUGGGAACUAGUUGUGGGGUCCAUUCCACGGAUUCCGUGACGCAGCUAACGCAUUAAGUUCCCCGCCUGGGGAGUACGGCCGCAAGGCUAAAACUCAAAGGAAUUGACGGGGACCCGCACAAGCGGCGGAGCAUGCGGAUUAAUUCGAUGCAACGCGAAGAACCUUACCAAGGCUUGACAUAUACGAGAACGCUGCAGAAAUGUAGAACUCUUUGGACACUCGUAAACAGGUGGUGCAUGGUUGUCGUCAGCUCGUGUCGUGAGAUGUUGGGUUAAGUCCCGCAACGAGCGCAACCCUCGUUCUAUGUUGCCAGCACGUAAUGGUGGGAACUCAUGGGAUACUGCCGGGGUCAACUCGGAGGAAGGUGGGGAUGACGUCAAAUCAUCAUGCCCCUUAUGUCUUGGGCUUCACGCAUGCUACAAUGGCCGGUACAAAGGGCUGCAAUACCGUAAGGUGGAGCGAAUCCCAAAAAGCCGGUCCCAGUUUGGAUUGAGGUCCGCAACUCGACAUC